GCUCCUGUAGUACAAUGGAUAGUGCGUUGGACUUUUAAUCCAAAGGUCGUGGGUAUGGAUCCCACCUGGGGAU
Molecule: non-coding RNA, 73 nt
Organism: Trichonephila clavipes
Lineage: Eukaryota; Metazoa; Arthropoda; Arachnida; Araneae; Nephilidae
Source: the annotation of a GenBank genome assembly